RNAcentral lists this long non-coding RNA (507 nucleotides) under Elaeis guineensis (African oil palm). RNAcentral's name for it is "long non-coding RNA (EGUI_LNC080505)". Lineage: Eukaryota; Viridiplantae; Streptophyta; Magnoliopsida; Arecales; Arecaceae. The record is from RNAcentral.
CAUCAUCUCCAAUUUUACUUGGAGCGAUCAAUCCCAUCUUGACUCGCACUCAGACUUCGUAAGUAUUUGACUGUAUCCAAAAAUCUUUUGUCAUCAAAUUAGAAAUUCGGAUAGUCCGACAUCAAAGCACAGUGAGUUGCUUGCAAGUCACCGAGGCAGCCUCAGAUCAGAGGGACACAUAUACCCAUAUCCCAUCAGAGCAACCCUUGAUAGUAGAGUACUCCGGAAGUGAUCACGCUCAAUGAAAUGUACUCUUACAAAUCAUCCAUAUACCAUAUCCGUGUUACCACACGUCUUGGUUAAGAGGACAACCAACUAAUAUGGCACACAAUGACUUACACUUGAUAUAAUUAUCAUCUUUGUAAUAAUUGUAUCAUUUGGUCGCGAGCAGGAUUUAAGAACCACACGAUAAAUCCUCCUUUAUCAUUUUGAAAGUAGCUCUAAGGACUUUAUCAUAAUAUAUGAGUUUUAUUUAGGAAGAUGUAUUCCUUAUGAUGAAUCUGUCGG